Molecule: long non-coding RNA, 212 nt
Organism: Chelonia mydas (Green sea turtle)
Lineage: Eukaryota; Metazoa; Chordata; Testudines; Cheloniidae
Exons: 3
Source: RefSeq, a predicted model, not a curated record
ACGCGAUAGAACUCUAUGGUCAGCCUGUCCAUGCCCGGAGACUUAUUGGUAGGCAUGCAGCAGAGGGCUUCCGAGAACUCGGCCAGAGAGAGAGGCAGCUCUAGCCAGUCCCGGUUGCCCGCGCUGACCGUCAGGAGUCCAUCCCAGAGCACUCUGCGAGCGGUAGGAUAGGUCGGAUCCGGGGAGAAAAGGCCUCCACAGCAGGCCCUGGC